UUAACCUACGGGAGGCAGCAGUGGGGAAUAUUGCACAAUGGGGGAAACCCUGAUGCAGCAACGCCGCGUGAGUGAUGACGGCCUUCGGGUUGUAAAGCUCUGUCUUCAGGGACGAUAAUGACGGUACCUGAGGAGGAAGCCACGGCUAACUACGUGCCAGCAGCCGCGGUAAUACGUAGGUGGCGAGCGUUGUCCGGAUUUACUGGGCGUAAAGGGAGCGUAGGCGGACUUUUAAGGGAGAUGGGAAAUAAUGGGGCUGAACUUGAGUGCCGCUUUUCAAACUGGAAGUCUAGAGUG
RNAcentral lists this ribosomal RNA (297 nucleotides) under uncultured bacterium. RNAcentral's name for it is "partial 16S ribosomal RNA". It matches the Rfam family "Bacterial small subunit ribosomal RNA", at positions 332 to 648 of the family's 1533-position model. The record is from RNAcentral.